CCUACGGGAGGCAGCAGUGGGGAAUUUUGGACAAUGGGCGCAAGCCUGAUCCAGCAAUGCCGCGUGAGUGAAGAAGGCCUUCGGGUUGUAAAGCUCUUUUGUCAGGGAAGAAACGGUGGAGGCUAAUAUCCUUUGCUAAUGACGGUACCUGAAGAAUAAGCACCGGCUAACUACGUGCCAGCAGCCGCGGUAAUACGUAGGGUGCAAGCGUUAAUCGGAAUUACUGGGCGUAAAGCGUGCGCAGGCGGUUUUGUAAGUUUGUCGUGAAAUCCCCGGGCUCAACCUGGGAAUGGCGAUGAAGACUGCAAGGCUAGAAUCUGGCAGAGGGGGGUAGAAUUCCACGUGUAGCAGUGAAAUGCGUAGAGAUGUGGAGGAACACCGAUGGCGAAGGCAGCCCCCUGGGUCAAGAUUGACGCUCAUGCACGAAGACGGUGGGGAGGACAAACGAGGAGUUAGUAGUACCCGUACGGUAGUACCGACCGACCCGUAAACCGUACUACGUACUACUACGUUAGGUU
This 518-nucleotide ribosomal RNA is filed under the name uncultured bacterium. RNAcentral's name for it is "bacterial SSU rRNA". It matches the Rfam family "Bacterial small subunit ribosomal RNA", at positions 338 to 833 of the family's 1533-position model. The record is from RNAcentral.